This 253-nucleotide ribosomal RNA is filed under the name uncultured bacterium. RNAcentral describes it as "partial 16S ribosomal RNA". It matches the Rfam family "Bacterial small subunit ribosomal RNA", at positions 524 to 776 of the family's 1533-position model. The record is from RNAcentral.
UACGGAGGGGGCUAGCGUUGUUCGGAAUUACUGGGCGUAAAGCGUACGUAGGCGGCCUUGUAAGUUAGAGGUGAAAGCCCGGGGCUCAACUCCGGAAUUGCCUUUAAGACUGCAUCGCUUGAAUCAUGGAGAGGUUAGUGGAAUUCCGAGUGUAGAGGUGAAAUUCGUAGAUAUUCGGAAGAACACCAGUGGCGAAGGCGACUCACUGGACAUGUAUUGACGCUGAGGUACGAAAGCGUGGGGAGCAAACAGG